UGUGGUCCAACUAUGAGAACCACUGACUUAAACUAUAGAGGCAGUGCUAUUUUAAUAUCCAACUUGCUGCAAGUUGCAGCAUCGGUAUACUAAAAUACUGGAGCAAUUCUGAAAAUCAGCAUUAUUUUAAAACGGCAACUUCCGUAGAGAUGAAAGUUUAGUAAACUGGAUUCAUACAUUCAUGCGGAAAUUCCCGACAGCCAGUGUAAGGAUCCAAAAGGAUAUCGUUUAGCAGGCCAGACCUUCUUCCCGUAUGAAGUAGCAGGGGUCAAUUCCAGCUGGAAAUGGAGUCAGAUGCCACAGUUGUGUUCUGAAAAUGUUGUAUUUUUGGAACUAGAAGAAUUCAGGUAUCCAUACUAUUGUAUGUGACGGGUACCACAUCGGGUAUGGCUUCAGACAAAGAUACUGUACGUCUGUUCCACUUUGCUUGAUGUCGUUGCAGAGCGUGUACUGUAACACAAAUGCUGGAUUGUAUUGAUUGACUAUACUGCAAGAGAAUCACUGAUUCAUUGAAAAUGAUCUUCAAAUUGGAGAAAUACACAGUAUUGUAUUCUGUAUACCUAUAUCCACUACUUUAUCACACUGGAAGAGAAACAUUAUUUGAUGGAAUUUGUUAUAAUAUUUCUUACGCUUUGUGCACAUAUUUUUAAGUACUGAUUUAUUUAGACGUUAGUGAGAAGCGGUUCUGGUAUGAAUGGCCGACCAUGUUAAGGUCGACAUUCAUUAGGUCGACCACUAUUGGUCGACAUAGACAUGGUCUAAUAGUCAACACAUGAAAAUGGUCAAUACGGGACAGGUCGACACAUGAAAAGGUUGACAUGCAUUUUUUAACUGUUUUUGGUGUCAUUUUUUUCCGUAACAUGGACCAGAAACCCCAAUUAGUGUACCUCGCUUCGCUCGCCAUGCUAGGGGCUAGGUGCCUCGCUCUGCUACCACUGCGCUCAGCACAGGUUACCAUUCCCAAUCUCAGUCCAUGUGGAUAGUAAAAGUAUGGAAAAGUUAAAAAUAGUUUUUUUUAAUUAAAAAAAAAGCCAUGUCGACCUUUUCAUG
This is a long non-coding RNA of Pseudophryne corroboree (corroboree frog), 1050 nucleotides long. RefSeq lists it as uncharacterized. NCBI's taxonomy places the organism in Eukaryota, Metazoa, Chordata, Amphibia, Anura, Myobatrachidae. The transcript is spliced from 2 exons. The record is from RefSeq and is a predicted model, not a curated record.